CAAUUGUAACACAGAUUUAGAUAGAUCUGCUCAUUAGCUACCAUAAAUUGUUCCACGUCGAUGUGCUCAGAUGUCUGUGGAAAAAGUUAUUCGAGAUAAAAAGACUUAACAUUUUCUCGGUUUUUCCAAAAAUAUCCUUAUUUUGCUACUUUGCAUGCUCAUAACUCGGUCAGUUUUCGAAGCAUCUUCAAUUGUAACACAGAUUUUGAUAGAUCAGCUCAUUGGCUACCAUAAGUUGUUCUACGUCGAUGUGCUCAGAUGUCUGUGGAAAAAGUUAUUCGAGAUACAAAGACUUAACAUUUUAUCGGUUUUUCUAAAAAAAUCCUUAUUUUGCUACUUUGCAUGCUCAUAACUCGGUCAGUUUUCGAUGGAUCUUCAAUUGUAACACAUAUUUGUAUAGAUCUGGUCAUUAGCUACCAAAAGUUAUUCUACGCCGAUGUGCUAAGUUGUCUGUGGAAAAAGUUAUUCGAGGUACAAAGACUUAACAUUUUCUCAAUUUUUCCUAAAAAAUUCCUCAUUUUGCCACUUUGGAUGCUUAUAACUCGGUCAGUUUCCAAUGGAUCUUCAAUUGUAACACAUAUUUGGAUAGAUCUGGUCAUUAGCUACCAAAAGUUAUUCUCCGCCGAUGUGCUAAGUUGUCUGUGGAAAAAGUUAUUCGAGGUACAAAGACUUAACAUUUUCUCAACUUUUCCAAAAAAAUUCCUCAUUUUGCCACUUUGGAUGCUUAUAACUCGGUCAGUUUCCAAUGGAUCUUCAAUUGUGGCACAUAUUUGGAUAGAUCUGGUCAUUAGCUACCAAAAGUUAUUCUACGCCGAUGUGCUAAGUUGUCUGUGGAAAAAGUUAUUCGAGGUACAAAGACUUAACAUUUUCUCAACUUUUCCAAAAAAUUCCUCAUUUUGCCACUUUGGAUGCUUAUAACUCGGUCAGUUUUCGAUGGAUCUUCAAUUGUAACACAGAUUUGGAUAGAUCUGUUCAUUGGCUACCAUAAUUUGUUCCAUGUCGAUGUGCUCAGAUGUCUGUGGAAAAAGUUAUUCGAGAUACAAAGACUUAACAUUUUCUCGGUUUUUCCAAAAAAAUCCUCAUUUUGCUACUUUGCAUGCUCAUAACUCGGUCAGUUUUCGACGGAUCUUCAAUUGUAACACGGAUUUGGAUAGAUCUGCUCAUUGGCUACCAUAAAUUGUUCCACGUCGAUGUGCUCAGAUGUCUGUGGAAAAAGUUAUUCGAGAUACAAAGACUUAACAUUUUCUCGGUUUUUCCAAAAAAAUCCUUAUUUUGCUACUUUGCAUGCUCAUAACUCGGUCAGUUUUCGACGAAUCUUCAAUUGUAACACAGAUUUGAAUAGAUCAGCUCAUUGGCUACCAUAAGUUGUUCCAUGUCGAUAUGCUCAGAUGUCUGUGGAAAAAGUUAUUCGAGAUACAAAGACUUAACAUUUUCUCGGUUUUUCCAAAAAAUUUGCUCAUUUUGCCAAUUUGCAUGCUCAUAACUCGGUCAGUUUUCGACAGAUCUUCAAUUGUAACACAGAUUUUGAUAGAUCUGGUCAUUAGCUACCAAAAGUUAUUCUACGCCGAUGUGCUAAGUUGUCUGUGGAAAAAGUUAUUCGAGGUACAAAGACUUAACAUUUUCUCAACUUUUCCAAAAAAAUUCCUCAUUUUGCCACUUUGGAUCCUUAUAACUCGGUCAGUUUCCAAUGGAUCUUCAAUUGUAGCACAUAUUUGGAUAGAUCUGGUCAUUAGCUACCAAAAGUUAUUCUACGCCGAUGUGCUAAGUUGUCUGUGGAAAAAGUUAUUUGAGGUACAAAGACUUAACAUUUUCUCAACUUUUCCAAAAAAAUUCCUCAUUUUGCCACUUUGGAUGCUUAUAACUCGGUCAGUUUCCAAUGGAUCUUCAAUUGUAGCACAUAUUUGGAUAGAUCUGGUCAUUAGCUACCAAAAGUUAUUCUAGGCCGAUGUGCUAUGUUGUCUGUGGAAAAAGUUAUUCGAGGUACAAAGACUUAACAUUUUCUCAACUUUUCCAAAAAAAUUCCUCAUUUUGCCACUUUGGAUGCUUAUAACUCGGUCAGUUUCCAAUGGAUCUUCAAUUGUAGCACAUAUUUGGAUAGAUCUGGUCAUUAGCUACCAAAAGUUAUUCUAGGCCGAUGUGCUUAGUUGUUUGUGGAAAAAGUUAUUCGAGGUACAAAGACUUAACAUUUUCUCAACUUUUCCAAAAAAAUUCCUCAUUUUGCCACUUUGGAUGCUUAUAACUCGGUCAGUUUCCAAUGGAUCUUCAAUUGUAGCACAUAUUUGGAUAGAUCUGGUCAUUAGCUACCAAAAGUUAUUCUACGCCGAUGUGCUAUGUUGUCUGUGGAAAAAGU
Molecule: long non-coding RNA, 2350 nt
Organism: Anopheles funestus (African malaria mosquito)
Lineage: Eukaryota; Metazoa; Arthropoda; Insecta; Diptera; Culicidae
Exons: 4
Source: RefSeq, a predicted model, not a curated record